UACGUAGGGAGCGAGCGUUGUCCGGAUUUACUGGGUGUAAAGGGUGCGUAGGCGGCUUUGCAAGUCAGAAGUGAAAUCCAUGGGCUUAACCCAUGAACUGCUUUUGAAACUGCAGAGCUUGAGUGGAGUAGAGGUAGGCGGAAUUCCCGGUGUAGCGGUGAAAUGCGUAGAGAUCGGGAGGAACACCAGUGGCGAAGGCGGCCUGCUGGGCUCUAACUGACGCUGAGGCACGAAAGCGUGGGUAGCAAACAGG
This 253-nucleotide ribosomal RNA is filed under the name uncultured bacterium. Its description in RNAcentral is "partial 16S ribosomal RNA". It matches the Rfam family "Bacterial small subunit ribosomal RNA", at positions 524 to 776 of the family's 1533-position model. The record is from RNAcentral.